AGUGCCUGGUCUGUUAUCACGCGUGUCGCUUGAUGAGCGUCGCAUCUUCUCCAUGCCUCACCCGCCAUGCAGUGUGCGUGUGUGUGUGUGCGUCCAAAUAUUCCGAACGCAAAAUUGAAGCCGAAGCUGGGAGUAGAAGACGUGUGCCAAAAUGGCACAACACACAACGAAGCGACGAUCGCAUUCGAAAGAGUUGCACCCAGAGCUUUCGGAACAAAGAUAGAGAGCCGGUGACGCUCGUCGGACCUGUGAUGUUUGGGCGACACGAAACAUACACACACAAAACAAAAAACAACCAACAAAAAAACAUACAUUUUGAUUAUCAAGUUUUGCCACACUUGUGUUUACUUGCAGACACACGUACACAUGUCGGUGACGCUAGAGAGCUGGUCCAGAACAGUGCGAGAGUUUGAAGUGCGUGCAACGUUUUUGUUUGCGAUUUCGUUUACGGUGUCCGCUGCAAGUGCUAACCCCAGACAAUGGAUUAGAUCAGGGAUCGCCAAACUACUCCAAAUCUAGCAGCAUGAGGUCCUCGAGACUUAUCAAAACGAGAUGUAACCGUUCAUCCACUAGCUAAAGAUAACGUCAGAAUAACCCUCGACAAAACUAUUUGCAGAGCAAUGUAGCCCGCGAAUUGAAAAGGUUGGGAGAUCCCUGAAUUAGAUGAUCCCCAAGAUUGGAUUAGAGAUAUAGCAGCCUGCAUCUAGCUGUCAAGCGCCAUAUAUUUUGGGGCGAAAUUGACCAUGGCAAGUCAUUCUCCAUUGUUUCUCCACUUACAUCGGUGCGGUCCGCUGGCAAACAAAAAACGACAACAAAACACCUUUUAUUGGAAGAACAAUUGCGUUUGGCGACAGACUAUCCCAUCCCGUUUGUCACACAGCCUUGAGCAUUAUGUUGUGAUAAAUUACUUUCCGUCAAGCGUACGGACAUAAGUCUAGCAAACAUGGCCGGCCCACAGACCAUAGUAGCCUACCUGGAACCUACCCCAACCCAAACUCCUGGCCCUGGUGGCUUUUAUUGCGUUGCCACCAGGUCUGGGCAAUUAAUAUCUAUUGUUGUGUGAUGUACGGCAAGGCGAAAAAUACACAUCGGGAACACACGCCGGAAAAGGGAAAUUGGUACCGAAACCCAUUAUGCCAAGCAUGGGACACACAACACACGCAUCGCCCAUUUCCUUGCUUUUGUCCUUUCUUGGGAGAGCGAAAUCAUGUCGUUGCACAACUAACGGCUGGCGGGGUGGUACGCGUCGUCGCACGAUAACCAUCAAUUGCCGGUAACUCUGGACCACAUUGGAAGGUGCUGCGAGGUGGGUGGGUUGUCACACCAAUGUCUGGAACGUUUGGAAAUUGCGUCACCACAAACCACGUUCCGUAACGUACGAUGGUCCGCAGUAGCAGCAGUAGCAGGGAAGUUCUAUUGGAUUAGGACCUCAUUAUGACCUAAUCCACGAUUCGGAGCUUAGUGGCCAACCUAUUUCGGGAGCUACCGAGGGCUAGCAGUGCGCUUCGAUGCAGUCAUUGUACAUUGGCACUUAGCGAGGUGUAAUUUAAUAAAGUCAUUUUACGAAAC
Long non-coding RNA from Anopheles gambiae (African malaria mosquito), 1569 nucleotides. RefSeq lists it as uncharacterized. The transcript has 3 exons. The record is from RefSeq and is a predicted model, not a curated record. NCBI's taxonomy places the organism in Eukaryota, Metazoa, Arthropoda, Insecta, Diptera, Culicidae.